RNAcentral lists this ribosomal RNA (385 nucleotides) under uncultured bacterium. RNAcentral's name for it is "bacterial SSU rRNA". It matches the Rfam family "Bacterial small subunit ribosomal RNA", at positions 355 to 737 of the family's 1533-position model. The record is from RNAcentral.
UGAGGAAUAUUGGGCAAUGGAGGCAACUCUGACCCAGCCAUGCCGCGUGCAGGAAGACGGCCCUCUGGGUUGUAAACUGCUUUUGUUUGGGAAUAAACCCUUCUACGUGUAGGAGGCUGAAGGUACCUUACGAAUAAGCAUCGGCUAACUCCGUGCCAGCAGCCGCGGUAAUACGGAGGAUGCAAGCGUUAUCCGGAUUUAUUGGGUUUAAAGGGUCCGUAGGCGGAUCUUUAAGUCAGUGGUGAAAGCCCACAGCUCAACUGUGGAACUGCCAUUGAUACUGGAGAUCUUGAGUGUAGUAGAAGUAGGCGGAAUAGGGCAUGUAGCGGUGAAAUGCAUAGAUAUGCCCUAGAACACCGAUUGCGAAGGCAGCUUACUAUGUUAC